Molecule: non-coding RNA, 152 nt
Organism: Ictidomys tridecemlineatus (thirteen-lined ground squirrel)
Lineage: Eukaryota; Metazoa; Chordata; Mammalia; Rodentia; Sciuridae
Source: Rfam
AUAGCUUCUCAAUCUUUUGGCUAAGAUCAAGUGUAGUAUACCUUUAAGUUUAAUGUCUAAUCUGUCCUCUAUCCAAGGACAAUAUUUUUGAGAAGACAGAAAUGCUGACCCUGCUUUGAACAUUACACCAUGUUUUUAUGCAUCUAAUAUAU